AGUGACUGCCAAGACACACCAGGCAUCUCAAGGAGAUGCACGGUUUGGCUUAACACCUCCUCUCCUCUAAAGGCGCUGCUGUAUUCAGGACAUAUUUUGACUGCUGUUUCUGCUGAAAAGCUGCAUUUUUGUAGUUUGUCUGAUUGACCACUAGGUGUCCUGCAUUUCCCACUUAUUCACUUUAUGUGUGAGCACAUAGGAAUAGGAUUAGACUACAGUAUUCAUAUUCAGUUCUUUUUCUGUAUUCACAAUUUGUAAGAGGGCUUUAUUUCUCCAAUUGAUGCAUUAAAAUCCCUUGUUAUGCAUAAUUAGUAAUGUUGGAGGCAAUUAAGAUCACAAGCUAACGUUUGUGUUAGCAGUGAUGGUGAACAUCAGGUACUGCGUGUUAUCUUAGGACAAAUGAACAGUGGCGGCUUGUAUAUGUAAUAUGGAGGCCUGAGAGAAUUUAAAGCUGCCUUGAAUGUGAUAUGCAUUGUGAGCUUUCUGGCCAGCUUGCUCAGCACUUGCUGGAGUUAUUUUUGUCUCUAGAGGAAGGCAUGUUAUGCAAGAUGUUUGUUCCUCAGACUGUCUGUAGCCGGCUCUGUUUUCAACCUACCCAAAUUUUAGUUUACUUGGAUGUAAACACUGCCAGCCAUUCCACAGGAUCUUGCUACUUCGGCUGUCCUGCAGCCCCAAAACAGCUGUAGGCGACCUGUGGACAUGGAAGGUGAAAGGAAACUCCAAGGGCUGGAGGUGUGGCUGCUUGUAGGUCCAGCAGUGUGGUCAUUCUGUCCAGGCUCCUCCCUCCUUUCUUCAUGGACCAAAGUCAACAGCGGGCCAAUCCCUGGAUGCGUGCUAAUGGAUUAGCAUUAGUAGUCUGAUAAAUGAACUAUUUAUGCUUUUUAUUUGGAUUUUAAGAUGCUUUACUACUGUACUGUGAGGUAUUCAUAAUGUUUGUGUGGAACUGUGGUAAUACAAUUCUGUUAUUUUUAUUACAUAGAUAUUAACCUGACUUUUCUCUAUGCUUCCUAGGAUUGGCUCCAGGCAAAUGCCACUAGAGAGCUGUUAUGUCUAUGUAAGGGUCAAUAUCCCAACAUUUUUACUAAGGGUGUAUAGAUAUAUUGUGAUGAAUCGUUUAGUGUAGCGAUUCUGUUGCGUCGAUCUGUAACUAGCAUUAGUGGUCUGCAAAUAAUUUUGAGGAAUGUAGAGCGCUGAGUGUGUAGGGUGGGGGCAAGGCAGGGUUCAAAGUUUUAAAGAGCUGGGAAAACUUGUUUUUGUGAAGCCUGGGCUUGCUCAAACCUAAUUUAGGCAAUGGGGGUUUGCUUUUGGGAAUUCAUAGCAUUGUACUUGACCAAGUUUCCCUCUUUCUUUAGGUUUUUCUGAGGCAUUAAUGGAGCUAAGCCUUUGAUGGAUAGCCAGUGUUCAAUGGGGCAGGGCUUUUCAGAUAUGAGGCUGUUUGGGUAAAUGCAUUUGGAGGAUAAUGCACAGUAACUCAAAUGUUCAUGUUCAACUGAAGCAUGCAUUGCAGAUCCUUAGAGGUGGCCCCUUGCCUAACAUUUGGUCUGCUGGGACUUUUGGUAUGCAUGUCUUUAUUUAAUUUCUUCUAUAACUUUCAGAGACCAUAACUUUCCCCUGACCACUUGUCCCAGUGUUAUUAGGCUUGGACCACAUUAGUUAAGUUAGUCUUAGACAGAGGGAUUGAUAUUACUCAAGGUAAAAAAUGCAGCCAUGCAUAGUUUGCUUUACUAUAAACUAAAUAUGAUUGUUUAUCCUG
Molecule: long non-coding RNA, 1753 nt
Organism: Brienomyrus brachyistius
Lineage: Eukaryota; Metazoa; Chordata; Actinopteri; Osteoglossiformes; Mormyridae
Exons: 2
Source: RefSeq, a predicted model, not a curated record